RNAcentral lists this ribosomal RNA (2857 nucleotides) under Salmonella enterica subsp. enterica serovar Enteritidis. RNAcentral describes it as "bacterial LSU rRNA". It matches the Rfam family "Bacterial large subunit ribosomal RNA". The record is from RNAcentral. Lineage: Bacteria; Pseudomonadati; Pseudomonadota; Gammaproteobacteria; Enterobacterales; Enterobacteriaceae.
GGGUUGUGAGGUUAAGCGACUAAGCGUACACGGUGGAUGCCCUGGCAGUCAGAGGCGAUGAAGGGCGUGCUAAUCUGCGAUAAGCGCCGGUAAGGUGAUAUGAACCGUUAUAACCGGCGAUACCCGAAUGGGGAAACCCAGUGUGAUUCGUCACACUAUCAUUAACUGAAUCCAUAGGUUAAUGAGGCGAACCGGGGGAACUGAAACAUCUAAGUACCCCGAGGAAAAGAAAUCAACCGAGAUUCCCCCAGUAGCGGCGAGCGAACGGGGAGGAGCCCAGAGCCUGAAUCAGCAUGUGUGUUAGUGGAAGCGUCUGGAAAGGCGCGCGAUACAGGGUGACAGCCCCGUACACAAAAGCGCAUGUGCUGUGAGCUCGAUGAGUAGGGCGGGACACGUGGUAUCCUGUCUGAAUAUGGGGGGACCAUCCUCCAAGGCUAAAUACUCCUGACUGACCGAUAGUGAACCAGUACCGUGAGGGAAAGGCGAAAAGAACCCCGGCGAGGGGAGUGAAAAAGAACCUGAAACCGUGUACGUACAAGCAGUGGGAGCNNNNNNNNNNNNNNNNNNNNNNNNNNNNNNNNNNNNNGGGCGUUAAGUUGCAGGGUAUAGACCCGAAACCCGGUGAUCUAGCCAUGGGCAGGUUGAAGGUUGGGUAACACUAACUGGAGGACCGAACCGACUAAUGUUGAAAAAUUAGCGGAUGACCUGUGGCUGGGGGUGAAAGGCCAAUCAAACCGGGAGAUAGCUGGUUCUCCCCGAAAGCUAUUUAGGUAGCGCCUCGUGAAUUCAUCUCCGGGGGUAGAGCACUGUUUCGGCUAGGGGGCCAUCCCGGCUUACCAACCCGAUGCAAACUGCGAAUACCGGAGAAUGUUAUCACGGGAGACACACGGCGGGUGCUAACGUCCGUCGUGAAGAGGGAAACAACCCAGACCGCCAGCUAAGGUCCCAAAGUCAUGGUUAAGUGGGAAACGAUGUGGGAAGGCCCAGACAGCCAGGAUGUUGGCUUAGAAGCAGCCAUCAUUUAAAGAAAGCGUAAUAGCUCACUGGUCGAGUCGGCCUGCGCGGAAGAUGUAACGGGGCUAAACCAUGCACCGAAGCUGCGGCAGCGACACUGUGUGUUGUUGGGUAGGGGAGCGUUCUGUAAGCCUGCGAAGGUGGCCUGUGAGGGUUGCUGGAGGUAUCAGAAGUGCGAAUGCUGACAUAAGUAACGAUAAAGCGGGUGAAAAGCCCGCUCGCCGGAAGACCAAGGGUUCCUGUCCAACGUUAAUCGGGGCAGGGUGAGUCGACCCCUAAGGCGAGGCCGAAAGGCGUAGUCGAUGGGAAACGGGUUAAUAUUCCCGUACUUGGUGUUACUGCGAAGGGGGGACGGAGAAGGCUAUGUUGGCCGGGCGACGGUUGUCCCGGUUUAAGCGUGUAGGUGUGUGUUCCAGGUAAAUCCGGUUCACUUUAACACUGAGGCGUGACGACGAGGCACUACGGUGCUGAAGCAACAAAUGCCCUGCUUCCAGGAAAAGCCUCUAAGCAUCAGGUAACAUCAAAUCGUACCCCAAACCGACACAGGUGGUCAGGUAGAGAAUACCAAGGCGCUUGAGAGAACUCGGGUGAAGGAACUAGGCAAAAUGGUGCCGUAACUUCGGGAGAAGGCACGCUGACACGUAGGUGAAGUGAUUUACUCAUGGAGCUGAAGUCAGUCGAAGAUACCAGCUGGCUGCAACUGUUUAUUAAAAACACAGCACUGUGCAAACACGAAAGUGGACGUAUACGGUGUGACGCCUGCCCGGUGCCGGAAGGUUAAUUGAUGGGGUCAGCGCAAGCGAAGCUCCUGAUCGAAGCCCCGGUAAACGGCGGCCGUAACUAUAACGGUCCUAAGGUAGCGAAAUUCCUUGUCGGGUAAGUUCCGACCUGCACGAAUGGCGUAAUGAUGGCCAGGCUGUCUCCACCCGAGACUCAGUGAAAUUGAACUCGCUGUGAAGAUGCAGUGUACCCGCGGCAAGACGGAAAGACCCCGUGAACCUUUACUAUAGCUUGACACUGAACAUUGAGCCUUGAUGUGUAGGAUAGGUGGGAGGCUUUGAAGUGUGGACGCCAGUCUGCAUGGAGCCGACCUUGAAAUACCACCCUUUAAUGUUUGAUGUUCUAACGUGGACCCGUUACCCGGGUUGCGGACAGUGUCUGGUGGGUAGUUUGACUGGGGCGGUCUCCUCCUAAAGAGUAACGGAGGAGCACGAAGGUUGGCUAAUCCUGGUCGGACAUCAGGAGGUUAGUGCAAUGGCAUAAGCCAGCUUGACUGCGAGCGUGACGGCGCGAGCAGGUGCGAAAGCAGGUCAUAGUGAUCCGGUGGUUCUGAAUGGAAGGGCCAUCGCUCAACGGAUAAAAGGUACUCCGGGGAUAACAGGCUGAUACCGCCCAAGAGUUCAUAUCGACGGCGGUGUUUGGCACCUCGAUGUCGGCUCAUCACAUCCUGGGGCUGAAGUAGGUCCCAAGGGUAUGGCUGUUCGCCAUUUAAAGUGGUACGCGAGCUGGGUUUAGAACGUCGUGAGACAGUUCGGUCCCUAUCUGCCGUGGGCGCUGGAGAACUGAGGGGGGCUGCUCCUAGUACGAGAGGACCGGAGUGGACGCAUCACUGGUGUUCGGGUUGUCAUGCCAAUGGCACUGCCCGGUAGCUAAAUGCGGAAGAGAUAAGUGCUGAAAGCAUCUAAGCACGAAACUUGCCCCGAGAUGAGUUCUCCCUGAGACUUAGAGUCUCCUGAAGGAACGUUGAAGACGACGACGUUGAUAGGCCGGGUGUGUAAGCGCAGCGAUGCGUUGAGCUAACCGGUACUAAUGAACCGUGAGGCUUAACCUUACAACGCCGAAG